Long non-coding RNA from Cyprinus carpio (common carp), 1514 nucleotides. RefSeq lists it as uncharacterized. Lineage: Eukaryota; Metazoa; Chordata; Actinopteri; Cypriniformes; Cyprinidae. The record is from RefSeq and is a predicted model, not a curated record. The transcript is spliced from 4 exons.
CAGGCACAAUAGAAUUUCACUUUUGGUGUGAAGUCUGCUGGCAUGAGUUGGAAUGCAAGCAUCAGGGCAGGGCAGAUGUUCAGCGGCAUAUCAGCAGAGAGAGUCAUAUCAAAAAACAAAAAAUCCUUGACAGUUCCAAAAAACAGAUAGAUUUGUUUGUUCAAAGACUGAAGAGAUGAAUCUGGACACUCAGGCUAGAAGGGGAAGAGGUCAAAGUGGCAGUGACUCUGGUCAGCCACAAUAUCCCAUUAGCCUUUGCAGAUCACCUCAGCCCGCUAUUCAAAGAAUGCUUUCCUGAUUCUAAAAUUGCCAAGAAAUAUUGUUCCGCAAGAACAAAAACAUCAGCCAUCAUCAACAAGGCAAUUAGUCCUUAUUUGCUGAACGAGCUGGUGAGCAACAUGAGGUGUAAACCAUUUAGUCUGUUGACAGAUGGGUCCAAUGAUACAGGUGACCUUUUUAUUAUUUCCCUCUACCAUUAGGCUUUUACAUGGUGCUUGAAUCCAACCAUCUAAUCAAUCCAACAUAGAACAGGUAUAGAGAAUGACAAGUUGUGCAUUGCUUGAACUGCUGCUUUACUGUUUACUGACAAUGACGAUGGCAGAUUCAGUUAUUGUUUGAUUGUGUAAAACUUGUGGCUUGUUCUUAAGGAAAGGAAAAGAUGAACCCUUUGACUGUCAAAAUCUGGGAGACCAAUGGGGUUGCCCAUAGAUUUUUUGAUAUGGGAAUAACAACUGGAGAAGGCUGUGGCACUGCAGCAACCAUAUUCAGCAAGAUGGACUCUGUGUUGAAAGGGCACACUAUACCAUGGCAGAAUUGCAUUGCUCUUUCUGUGGACAAUGUCAGCGUCAACAUGGGAGACAGGAACUCUAUCAAGUCAAGGGUGAUGAAAGAAAUCCCUUCAGUGUUCAUCCUAGGUUGCCCAAUGCCACAUAGUGCACAACAAUGCCUCUGCUGCUGGUGCCGUGUACAGUGAGGUAAAUUGCUCAGUUAGUCUAGUCAUAGCAUUAUAAAGAUGAUGUAGUUCAAGCUCAAAUAAGAAACCACAUAAUGUCACAGACUAUUACAUGAAAGAAAAUGUUAAUCUGGUGUUCCUUAGGAAACCUGUCCCAUUUGCGUUAGCAUUCUUUCUUUAAAAGGAAAAUAAAUCCUUCCAGAUCAGGGUUCGAUGUUGAGGACCUGGCAGUAGAUAUGGGCUUUUGGUUCAAGGCUAGCACCAAAUGCAAGAACAUAUUGGAUGAGUUCUGUACCUUUUGUGACACAAGCUACAUGGAGACACUGCUGCAUGUGAGCACAAGAUGGCUUUGUUUGGAGAUGGUGGUCAGUCGGAUUCUACAUCUCUAUAAUGCACUCAGGAGAUAUUUUGGAAGCAUCCAUGAGAAGCAAGCCAGGUGUCCCUUACGAAAAAUAAGUUUAUUCAAGUGUGCUAUUAGUAUACUUAUUUUAAACUUAAAAUAGGAAAGUAUACUUUUAGUUUACUUUUUAUGUAGUUCUCAGAAAUGGGCUUUAUGUACUUC